Molecule: long non-coding RNA, 459 nt
Organism: Salvia splendens (bonfire salvia)
Lineage: Eukaryota; Viridiplantae; Streptophyta; Magnoliopsida; Lamiales; Lamiaceae
Exons: 2
Source: RefSeq, a predicted model, not a curated record
UCAAAACAACAAACUCUUCCCCUCUCUAGUCUCUGCUUAUCAAAUCGUCACUCUCUGUCUCUCUAAAACUCAUGCUUGCUCUCUCCGUCAUCUUCUACAAUUCAUAAAACAGAACAAUCCCAACUCUCAACUCUCAAAAUUCUCUGUAACUCACCUCUGCAAAUUACAUCUCAAAACACCAAGCUCAUCUCCCUCGUUCCAAAAUCGUCCCCCGCCUCUCUGUCGGCCAGCGCGCUGCCUCUGUCACGCUCGGCCUCCGUCGCCGAGCAGCCACUGUCCGUCGUUGCCCAGCUCCUCCGUCGGCAGUGCCGUUUCUCACAACCGAUCACGGAGGAGGAAAAUCAUAUCACGGAGGAGGAAAAUCUUUGUAGAAUCUUUAAUUAUCUUUAAAUUAUUGACUUGGUGAGUCAACAGGAAAAUAUUUAAUUAGAUAAAUUUGAUUUUUUUUCCUCUCCUUUA